AGAGUUUGAUCAUGGCUCAGGACGAACGCUGGCGGCGUGCCUAAAACAUGCAAGUCGGACGGUUCCGCCGCGAGGCGGGGCCGUGGCGGACGGCUGAGUAACGCGUAGGAACCUGCCCGGGCGUGGGGGAUAACGGUCCGAAAGGGCCGCUAAGACCGCAUGUGGUCCCGCGGGAGCGGGAAGAAAGCCGCGAGGCGCGCUCGGAGGGGCCUGCGUCCGAUUAGCUAGUUGGCGGGGUAAUGGCCCACCAAGGCGAUGAUCGGUAGCUGGUCUGAGAGGAUGAUCAGCCAGACUGGGACUGGGACACGGCCCAGACUCCUACGGGAGGCAGCAGUUAGGAAUCUUGGGCAAUGGCCGCAAGGCUGACCCAGCAACGCCGCGUGGGGGACGAAGGCCUUCGGGUUGUAAACCCCUUUUCUCGGGGACGAUAGUGACGGUACCCGAGGAAGAAGCCCCGGCUAACUACGUGCCAGCAGCCGCGGUAAUACGUAGGGGGCGAGCGUUGUCCGGAUUCACUGGGCGUAAAGGGCGCGUAGGCGGUGCGGCGUGUCGGCCGUGAAAGCUCCCGGCUCAACUGGGAGAGGUCGGGCGAGACUGCCGCGCUGGAGGCAGGUAGAGGGCCGCGGAAUUCCGGGUGUAGUGGUGGAAUACGUAGAGAUCCGGAGGAACACCGGUGGCGAAGGCGGCGGCCUGGGCCUGGCCUGACGCUGAGGCGCGAAAGCGUGGGGAGCGAGUCGGAUUAGAUACCCUGGUAGUCAAGGGCGAAUUCGUU
RNAcentral lists this ribosomal RNA (772 nucleotides) under uncultured bacterium. Its description in RNAcentral is "bacterial SSU rRNA". It matches the Rfam family "Bacterial small subunit ribosomal RNA", at positions 8 to 810 of the family's 1533-position model. The record is from RNAcentral.